GAUGAACGUUGGCGGCGUGCCUGAGAUAUGCAAGUCGAGCGAUCCCGCCUCUGGCGGGAAGUGGCGAACGGCUGAGUAACACGUAGGAACCUGCCCCUAAGUCGAGGAUAGUCCGCCGAAAGGCGGAGUAAUACUCGAUGGUUCCCCUCCGAUUCGGAGGGGUAAAGGAUCUAACCGUCCGCUUAGGGAGGGGCCUGCGGCCUAUCAGGUAGUUGGUAGGGUAACGGCCUACCAAGCCGAUGACGGGUAGCUGGCCUUAUGAGGGUGGUCAGCCAGAGGGGGACUGAGACACGGSCCCCACUCCUACGGGAGGCAGCAAUCAGGAAUCGUCGGCAAUGGGCGAAAGCCUGACCGCGCGACGCCGCGUGCGGGAAGAAGCUCUUCGGAGUGUAAACCGCUGUGGUAGGGGAGGAAGCCCCGCCGUUGGCGGGGUUGACAGUAMCCUACUAGAAAGGGGSCGCUAACUGCGUUCGGUAAUACGUGGGCCCCAAACGUUAUCCGGUGUCAMUGGGCGUAAAGGGUCGUGUAGGCGUCCCGUCAAGUUUUACCUCAAAGACUAUGGCUCAACCAUAGGAAGGGGUAAAAAACUGACGGGAUAGAAUUCCCUCAAGGGGGACGGGAACUUGCGGAGGAGCAGUGAAAUGCGUUGAUACCGCAGGGAACACCAGUGGCGAAGGCGCGUCCCUUCGAGGGAAUUGACGYUGAGACACGAAAGCUAGGGGAGCGAAGCAGAUUAGAGACCUGCGUAGUCCUAGCCGUAAACGCAUGUCUGCUAGCUGUGCUUUUCCUCGCCUCAUUGGCGUGGUUAGGCAUGGCGAAGGUAACCCGUUAMGCAGACCGCCUGGGGACUACGGCCGCAAGGCUAAAACUCAAAGGAAUUGGCGGGGAGGCACACAACCAGUGGAACAUGUGGUUCAAUUCGAGACGAACCGAAGAACCUCACCAGGGCUUGACAUGCUACCGUUCACCCGAAAGGAAACUUUCGGGGAUCCGCAAGGAUGGUAGCACAGGUGCUGCAUGGCUGUCGUCAGCUUGUUCCGUGAGGAGUG
RNAcentral lists this ribosomal RNA (1049 nucleotides) under Candidatus Microgenomatota. RNAcentral describes it as "bacterial SSU rRNA". It matches the Rfam family "Bacterial small subunit ribosomal RNA", at positions 28 to 1076 of the family's 1533-position model. The record is from RNAcentral.